UAGUGAUGAGGUAUUUCAGACCAGUGCCAGAGCUGCUGCUAAAACUGCUGUUUGUGUAAAUGCAAACAGUCAACUGAGAAAGUUAGACAAUAUUAGACAAUGGAGGAUGUCCAGCCUUUGCUAGUGCUGCUCCCAGCAGCCAAAGUUAGAGGUCCAGGUGUUGGCUACUGUGUAUACUGGUGCUCCCACCUAGACUUUAACUACUAGCAACUGAAUACAAAAGGGGGGAAAGGGAAUUUGGAUUAAAUCAGGUAAAUGUUGCUUUGUUUGCCUCUUAGAACUGGGUUGUUGAUGGAAAGGUUCAAAGCAGUCAAGUGUCCUGACACUGCUACCCAACUUGGAGAGAUCAAAAAAGUUCAGCAGGAGCUGAACCAGCCUGCAACCUUAGAAAGACUGCUGCCCAACAAAGCAGAGUCUGUUGCUCACCUGAGAGCAAUCUUUACUGGCCCUAUGCCUUAGAUAUGGGCAAAGAAGGUGAUCAGAUGGUUGCCAUCACCAUUGCUGGUCCAAACCAAUUUGUUCUGAAGCCUCAGUGAGAGGGUGGAGGGAACAAUCUCUAUGGUGAAAACCUCAAGCAAGUGCUGGAGAAAACUAAAGAUAGCCCAGAGAGAACUUCUUAUAUCCUAAUGGAUAAGAGCAAGCCUCAGCCAAUGAUGAAUUACAUGUUGAGGGCCCACUCCCCCUUGAAAAUAUCAAAAUGUGUCUCUGAGUUGGGGAUUCUUGGUGUCUACAUCAGGUGAGGCUUUGGCUUGCUUUGCCAUUUCACUUUGUCCACGCCUGCAUCACUCCCUGCACUUCAGUGAAUUCUAACCAGCCCAGGUAGAAGGCAUUGCAGUGAGCAGAAGAGGCAUGAGAGGGGGCAUGCAUGUUCAGAACAGAAAUGCAACUUGCAAAAGGUGUUUCGUCAGUAGUUCUCUGUGCCGUUCACACAAUUACCAACCUCAUUUCUAGGUGCUGACAGAUGAAAACCAUUUAAAACA
Molecule: long non-coding RNA, 980 nt
Organism: Gavialis gangeticus (Gharial)
Lineage: Eukaryota; Metazoa; Chordata; Crocodylia; Gavialidae
Exons: 3
Source: RefSeq, a predicted model, not a curated record